This 254-nucleotide ribosomal RNA is filed under the name uncultured bacterium. RNAcentral's name for it is "partial 16S ribosomal RNA". It matches the Rfam family "Bacterial small subunit ribosomal RNA", at positions 524 to 776 of the family's 1533-position model. The record is from RNAcentral.
UACGGGGGGCGCAAGCGUUGUUCGGAUUUACUGGGCGUAAAGGGCGCGUAGGCGGCCAGCACAAGUCAGUUGUGAAAUCUCCGAGCUUAACUCGGAAAGGUCAACUGAUACUGUGCGGCUAGAGUGCGGAAGGGGCAACUGGAAUUCUUGGUGUAGCGGUGAAAUGCGUAGAUAUCAAGAGGAACACCUGCGGCGAAGGCGGGUUGCUGGGCCGACACUGACGCUGAGGCGCGAAAGCUAGGGGAGCGAACGGG